RNAcentral lists this ribosomal RNA (431 nucleotides) under uncultured bacterium. Its description in RNAcentral is "bacterial SSU rRNA". It matches the Rfam family "Bacterial small subunit ribosomal RNA", at positions 340 to 786 of the family's 1533-position model. The record is from RNAcentral.
UACGGAAGGCAGCAGUGGGGAAUAUUGGACAAUGGGCGCAAGCCUGAUCCAGCAAUGCCGCGUGGAUGAAGAAGGUUUUCGGAUUGUAAAGUCCUUUCGACGGGGACGAUGAUGACGGUACCCGUAGAAGAAGCCCCGGCUAACUUCGUGCCAGCAGCCGCGGUAAUACGAAGGGGCUAGCGUUGCUCGGAAUGACUGGGCGUAAAGGGCGCGUAGGCGGAAUGCUUUGUCGGGCGUGAAAUUCCAGGGCUUAACCUUGGGACUGCGUUCGAGACGGGUAUUCUAGAGUGGAGAAGAGGGUCGUGGAAUUCCCCAGUGUAGAGGUGAAAUUCGUAGAUAUUGGGAAGAACACCGGUGGCGAAGGCGGCGACCUGGUCUUUUACUGACGCUGAGGCGCGAAAGCGUGGGGAGCAAAACAGGGAUUAGAUACC